AUUCCAGCUCCAAUAGCGUAUAUUAAAGUUGUUGCGGUUAAAAAGCUCGUAGUUGGAUCUCGGCGGGUAGGGGGCGGUUCGUUAUUUGACGCUACUGCCCCAUUUACCCGUGUUUUUGACGGAGGUUCCAGGGUGCUCUUAACCGAGUGUCCUGGGAUGCCGUCAGGUUUACUUUGAAAAAAUUAGAGUGCUCAAAGCAGGCUACAAAGCUUGAAUAUUUGUGCAUGGAAUAAUGGAAUAGGAAGUCGUUUCUAUUUUUUUGGUUUUCGGAAAUUGACUUAAUGAUUAAUAGGGACAGCCGGGGGCAUUAGUACUCAGACGACAGAGGUGAAAUUCUUGGACCGUUUGAAGACUAACUACUGCGAAAGCAUUUGCCAAGAGUGUUUUCAUUAAUCAAGAACGAAAGUUAGAGGUUCGAAGGCGAUCAGAUACCGCCCUAGUUCUAACCAUAAACGAUGCCAGCUAGCGAUCCGCUGAGUUGCAUUUGUAGGCUCUGCGGGAAGCUUUCGGGAAACCAAAGCGUUUGGGUUCCGGGGGAAGUAUGGUUGCAAAGCUGAAACUUAAAGGAAUUGACGGAAGGGCACCACCAGGAGUGGAGCCUGCGGCUUAAUUUGACUCAACACGGGAAAUCUCACCAGGCCCGGACACUGGAAGGAUUGACAGAUUGAGAGCUC
This 674-nucleotide ribosomal RNA is filed under the name uncultured metazoan. RNAcentral's name for it is "SSU rRNA". It matches the Rfam family "Eukaryotic small subunit ribosomal RNA", at positions 582 to 1257 of the family's 1831-position model. Lineage: Eukaryota; Metazoa. The record is from RNAcentral.